This 253-nucleotide ribosomal RNA is filed under the name uncultured bacterium. RNAcentral describes it as "partial 16S ribosomal RNA". It matches the Rfam family "Bacterial small subunit ribosomal RNA", at positions 524 to 776 of the family's 1533-position model. The record is from RNAcentral.
UACAGAGGUCUCAAGCGUUGUUCGGAUUCAUUGGGCGUAAAGGGCGCGUAGGCGGCUUUAUAAGUCGGGGGUGAAAGCCUGUGGCUCAACCACAGAAUUGCCUUCGAUACUGUAGAGCUUGAGACCGGAAGAGGUUAGUGGAACUGCGAGUGUAGAGGUGAAAUUCGUAGAUAUUCGCAAGAACACCAGUGGCGAAGGCGGCUGACUGGUCCGGUUCUGACGCUGAGGCGCGAAAGCGUGGGGAGCAAACAGG